Molecule: ribosomal RNA, 425 nt
Filed under: uncultured bacterium
Lineage: Bacteria
Description: partial 16S ribosomal RNA
Rfam family: Bacterial small subunit ribosomal RNA
Source: RNAcentral
GUGGGGAAUAUUGCACAAUGGAGGAAACUCUGAUGCAGCGACGCCGCGUGAGUGAAGAAGUAAUUCGUUAUGUAAAGCUCUAUCAGCAGGGAAGAUAGUGACGGUACCUGACUAAGAAGCUCCGGCUAAAUACGUGCCAGCAGCCGCGGUAAUACGUAUGGAGCAAGCGUUAUCCGGAUUUACUGGGUGUAAAGGGAGUGUAGGUGGCCAUGCAAGUCAGAAGUGAAAAUCCGGGGCUCAACCCCGGAACUGCUUUUGAAACUGUAAGGCUAGAGUGCAGGAGGGGUGAGUGGAAUUCCUAGUGUAGCGGUGAAAUGCGUAGAUAUUAGGAGGAACACCAGUGGCGAAGGCGGCUCACUGGACUGUAACUGACACUGAGGCUCGAAAGCGUGGGGAGCAAACAGGAUUAGAAACCCUGGUAGUCC